RNAcentral lists this ribosomal RNA (253 nucleotides) under uncultured bacterium. RNAcentral describes it as "partial 16S ribosomal RNA". It matches the Rfam family "Bacterial small subunit ribosomal RNA", at positions 524 to 776 of the family's 1533-position model. The record is from RNAcentral.
UACGUAGUGGGCAAGCGUUGUCCGGAAUCAUUGGGCGUAAAGAGCGUGUAGGCGGCCCGGUAAGUCCGCUGUGAAAGUCCAGGGCUCAACCCUGGGAUGCCGGUGGAUACUGUCGGGCUCGAGUCCGGAAGAGGAGUGUGGAAUUCCUGGUGUAGCGGUGAAAUGCGCAGAUAUCAGGAGGAACACCAAUGGCGAAGGCAGCACUCUGGGACGUGACUGACGCUGAGACGCGAAAGCGUGGGGAGCAAACAGG